AAGAGUUUACCAUGUGCCUGAUUUUGGUGUCUGGGAAAGAGGAAGCAAAUAUAAUAAUGGCAGCACAGAGCUACAUUCGAGCUCUGUUGGCUUAGCAAAAGCAGCUCUAGAAGCAAUUAAUGGAUUCAACCUCUUUGGCAACCAGGGCUGUUCUUGGUCGAUUAUAUUUGUGGAUCUCGAUGCUCACAAUCGCAAUAGGCAAACUUUGUGCUCACUCUUACCCAGAGAAUCAAGAUCUCAUAACACAGAUGCUGCCCUGCUCCCCUGCAUCACUUACCCUGCAUUUGCCCUGG
Diceros bicornis minor is the source of this 293-nucleotide long non-coding RNA. RefSeq lists it as uncharacterized. The transcript has 4 exons. The record is from RefSeq and is a predicted model, not a curated record. NCBI's taxonomy places the organism in Eukaryota, Metazoa, Chordata, Mammalia, Perissodactyla, Rhinocerotidae.